GACGAACGCUGGCGGCGUGCUUAACACAUGCAAGUCGAACGGAAAGGCCCUGCUUUUGUGGGGUGCUCGAGUGGCGAACGGGUGAGUAACACGUGAGUAACCUGCCCUUGACUUUGGGAUAACUUCAGGAAACUGGGGCUAAUACCGGAUAGGAGCUCCUGCUGCAUGGUGGGGGUUGGAAAGUUUCGGCGGUUGGGGAUGGACUCGCGGCUUAUCAGCUUGUUGGUGGGGUAGUGGCUUACCACGGCUUUGACGGGUAGCCGGCCUGAGAGGGUGACCGGCCACAUUGGGACUGGGAUACGGCCCAGACUCCUACGGGAGGCAGCAGUGGGGAAUAUUGCACAAUGGGCGGAAGCCUGAUGCAGCAACGCCGCGUGCGGGAUGACGGCCUUCGGGUUGUAAACCGCUUUCGCCUGUGACGAAGCGUGAGUGACGGUAAUGGGUAAAGAAGCACCGGCUAACUACGUG
This 468-nucleotide ribosomal RNA is filed under the name uncultured bacterium. Its description in RNAcentral is "partial 16S ribosomal RNA". It matches the Rfam family "Bacterial small subunit ribosomal RNA", at positions 28 to 507 of the family's 1533-position model. The record is from RNAcentral.